GCCCUUCGUUUUUCGAUAUGUUCUUUUGUCUUGAUCAGGUCUACAACACGGUUUUGGGACGACCUUCGUGCAGUUGUUGAGGUCUUCUCAAAAAAAGGGAAUCAGCAGGUCCUCAAAAGGUCAGCAAGGCCUAUGAUAAUAAUGUAACUGAACAUUCCCGAGCGACAAGACCUCUCCAUGACCAUCGACGCGAAAACAGGCCUUUGCGCACGGCCAGCUGGAGGCGCCACUAUUGUACCGUCCACCGCCGCUCUACUACGUACACCAUGAUACGAACAUAAGAUGUGCCUAACUGAAUGAUUACUGCAAGCAGCUCUUCUUUACCACCAUAGGGCUGUGAAACUCUACAACACAUGAUACAACUUUUCUCAUUAUGACGAAUGAUGAUAUUUCUUAGAAAACAGAGUCGCAGUUUUGCUGUCUUGCCGAUGCCCCGUUGGAGAAUAAUGAAUGUAUGACUUCAAUAUUGAUGCUCAUAAGGCUGUGGUUCGGUGAUAUUCGUGUGGUA
This 508-nucleotide small RNA is filed under the name Cryptococcus neoformans H99. RNAcentral's name for it is "Cryptococcus neoformans var. grubii H99 hypothetical RNA". Lineage: Eukaryota; Fungi; Basidiomycota; Tremellomycetes; Tremellales; Cryptococcaceae. The record is from RNAcentral.